RNAcentral lists this ribosomal RNA (253 nucleotides) under uncultured bacterium. RNAcentral's name for it is "partial 16S ribosomal RNA". It matches the Rfam family "Bacterial small subunit ribosomal RNA", at positions 524 to 776 of the family's 1533-position model. The record is from RNAcentral.
UACGGGGGGGGCAAGCGUUGUUCGGAAUUACUGGGCGUAAAGGGCUCGUAGGUGGCCAACUAAGUCAGACGUGAAAUCCCUCGGCUUAACCGGGGAACUGCGUCCGAUACUGGAUGACUUGAGUUCGGGAGAGGGAUGCGGAAUUCCAGGUGUAGCGGUGAAAUGCGUAGAUAUCUGGAGGAACACCGGUGGCGAAGGCGGCAUCCUGGACCGACACUGACGCUGAGGAGCGAAAGCCAGGGGAGCAAACGGG